This 465-nucleotide ribosomal RNA is filed under the name uncultured bacterium. RNAcentral's name for it is "partial 16S ribosomal RNA". It matches the Rfam family "Bacterial small subunit ribosomal RNA", at positions 28 to 507 of the family's 1533-position model. The record is from RNAcentral.
GAUGAACGCUGGCGGCGUGCUUAACACAUGCCAGUCGAACGGAAAGGCCCCUGCUUGCAGGGGUACUCGAGUGGCGAACGGGUGAGUAACACGUGGGUGAUCUGCCCUGCACUUCGGGAUAAGCCUGGGAAACUGGGUCUAAUACCGGAUAGGACGAUGGUUUGGAUGCCAUUGUGGAAAGUUUUUCGGUGUGGGAUGAGCUCGCGGCCUAUCAGCUUGUUGGUGGGGUAAUGGCCUACCAAGGCGUCGACGGGUAGCCGGCCUGAGAGGGUGUACGGCCACAUUGGGACUGAGAUACGGCCCAGACUCCUACGGGAGGCAGCAGUGGGGAAUAUUGCACAAUGGGCGCAAGCCUGAUGCAGCGACGCCGCGUGGGGGAUGACGGCCUUCGGGUUGUAAACUCCUUUCGCUAGGGACGAAGCGCAAGUGACGGUACCUGGAGAAGAAGCACCGGCUAACUACGUG